GAGCGAAACCGCCCCGCCCCGGCCUGGCCGGGACGGUCUGCCGGACGUGGUGGUCCGGUACUGACGAGCAGCCGAGG
RNAcentral lists this non-coding RNA (77 nucleotides) under Pseudomonas aeruginosa. The record is from RNAcentral. Lineage: Bacteria; Pseudomonadati; Pseudomonadota; Gammaproteobacteria; Pseudomonadales; Pseudomonadaceae. RNAcentral also lists the same sequence under 1 other name.